UAAUACGUAGGUGGCAAGCGUUGUCCGGAAUUGUUGGGCGUAAAGCGCGCGCAGGCGGUCCUUUAAGUCUGAUGUGAAAGCCCACGGCUCAACCGUGGAGGGUCAUUGGAAACUGGGGGACUUGAGUACAGAAGAGAAGAGUGGAAUUCCACGUGUAGCGGUGAAAUGCGUAGAGAUGUGGAGGAACACCAGUGGCGAAGGCGACUCUUUGGUCUGUAACUGACGCUGAGGCGCGAAAGCGGGGGGAGCAAACAGG
This 256-nucleotide ribosomal RNA is filed under the name uncultured prokaryote. RNAcentral's name for it is "partial 16S ribosomal RNA". It matches the Rfam family "Bacterial small subunit ribosomal RNA", at positions 521 to 776 of the family's 1533-position model. The record is from RNAcentral.